This is a long non-coding RNA of Bombus huntii, 11776 nucleotides long. RefSeq lists it as uncharacterized. The transcript has 2 exons. NCBI's taxonomy places the organism in Eukaryota, Metazoa, Arthropoda, Insecta, Hymenoptera, Apidae. The record is from RefSeq and is a predicted model, not a curated record.
CACUGAAAUUCCAGAUCGAUAAGAACGGCCAUAUUUUCGAAUUGAUCUACAUUCCGAUCGCUCUCUGAACAAAUAUUUAUGCGACCAGAAUACGUAUAUAGACAGAACGAUACGCGUCUACUGGUGGAAAAGGUGUUUCGGCGGCUCUUAGGUCCACUACUAACGUUACGUACUCUCGUAUAUCUCGAAUCUAAAGCGUGGGUCGAUCCUAAGCCAAUAUUUUGACACGGGACCACCGUCAUCUUUUCUUCGAGAGCUUGUACAUUGACUAGGAUUCAGUCAUCUCGCGGUUUAUGACAUUAACAUAAGUAGAGUGUAUAUAUCGAACGACAUACACGUGAGAUGAGAAAAGGGGAUAACGGAGCGGUAACUGAGUAAGUUGAAUAAUAACGUUUUGGAUAAUUACUAGACUGCGGAUUUUUAUGCGUUUAUGAGAAAAUAUGAGAGCGUAAAAUUACACAAAAUGCACAUGAUACAAAAAAGAAAAGAAAGAAAAUAUAUAAAAUAUACAAAGUGUAGUGUUUUGUGUAAUAUUGGGUUGGCAACUAAGUGAUUGCGGAUUUUGUCAUUAGGUGGUAUUGAUAAAAAAAUAUGACAUAAAAUAUGAAAGCGCAAAAUUACACAGGAUGCUCAUGAUACAAAAAAAAAAAAAAAAAUAUAUAAAAUAUACAAAGUGUACUGUUUUGUGUAAUAUUGGGUUGGCAACUAAGUGAUUGCGGAUUUUGUCAUUAGGUGGUAUUAACAAAAUCCGCAAUCACUUAGUUGCCAACUCAAUACGUAGUAGAUAAAACAAUUUUCUACCGAGGUUCUAGUUUCUUCGUUAUAUACCCAACGACGCGAAUCUGCAUACAAAUUCGCAGUCUAGUAAUUAUAGUAGAACUUCGUUUAACUAAAUUUGUUAGGGGAUGAACAAUUUAUACGUAUAAUUGGACUUCGUAGAUUUUCCUUACCACGUAUUUAUUAUUUUUCGUUCGUAUAAGGGGAGUUCUCGUUGAGAUAAGUGAAUUCAAUCAGCAGAAAUUCAUUGAUAAAUAAUCGAGUAUUAAUUGGUAUUUCGUUCCACUAAAUGGAAUGCAGAUAAAUGGAGUUCUACUGUAUAUUAUGUAGAAGAUGACAUAUGUCAUGAAUUUCAAUGAUCUUGAUAUAUGUUAUAACGUCGAUACUGUCGAUACACGGAUGCACAUUAAUGCCAAUUCAACGUAUGGUCAGGAUAUCUUGUAACUAGUAACGAAGCGGAAACGGGAUGAUUCUACGUGAUAAAAUAAAUUGAGGAUGUAGAGAAGAAUUUUUUCCUACGAGCUUUUGCUUUCCGAGAAAAUUAGUUUUAAAUAUUUGUUCGGCUAUGUUCCAUCUAAUUUCGUUCGAUUUUUAUUCGUCUUUCGAAGAAAUAGGAAAUAUCGGAUGAUGUUUAAAACAAAGAUUUAUUUAACGUUUAAUGAAACUGAUUAUCAGAAUAAAUUGUCAUCGAUACGAAGAACAGAAUGAGAAACAUUUUCGACAAUUUAUAAGCUAACAAACUUCACUGUAUACUGUCAAUAUGCUAUUUUACAGUGUAUUCUGUUUCAUCCAAUGCGAUAAAUAUAAGCAAAGAUAGCGAUCUAUAGUCUUUAAAUUGUAUGAGUACCAUGCAAGUAUUCAAAGUCAAUUUCCACGACGAUACAGCCUCGUAUAAAAAAUGUCUGUUCUACAUUUUCAAUUUAUUUUGUCAUCAUUCUCAUAUUUUGUCGUCAUGAUUCUCUUGUACGAUUGAACCACGCAAAAUUAUUAAUGAAAUUUUACAAAUCAGCAGAGAUAGUAAAUUUCUUUGAACAAGAAUAACAAGCCAUUUUAUAAAUUGAAAACUAUUUGCUUCUUCGAUAUGAAAUUGAAAAAUUGUACAAGAGUAGUCUACAACCUACAAUUUGUAUCUUGUCAAUUUGCCAAUAUCAUCGUAAAUUAUUCCGCAAGUGGAACCCAAUUGCAUCUACCUGCCGCUAGUCACAAGUCAUUCUGUGCAUUGAAUUGGUCCAAUUAUUUAGACAAAUUGAAACAAAAUCUCGUUAUUUCUUCGACAUGCCAUAUAUAUUGUUAAGAAACGAGUUUGUCGUUUGUUUUUCUUACUUUUACCUUGGUUCGAUUUCAUCGGCGAAAUUAUUUAGCGACUGUGUUCCAUAUGCAAAUGUAUCUACAGCACGGUCGUCAGAUUUUGUAUUUUCCUUCUCGCGGAAAAAUAAAUCUUGGGACUUUACGAGGAUAGAGAACCAUAAAUACGAGACGGAAACUCAGCUAAAACUAGACCAAACAACCGUGCCCCUAGUUAUUUGUUCGGCUGGCUUUAUAUGGUAAAUCACGCGAGGCUUUACUUUCGCGCGUUGUCCCUCGUUUUAUGGAUCAUCUUUUCUCUCUAUUCCAAGCAAUAUAGUACAACUAUCCGGAAGAUUUUUGCUUCCGUGAAAACAUCAGAGAAACGGGUUUAUUUGUUUAUCGUCCAUUGGCAUACAUAUUUACAAAUUUUACGUUGUCAGCUUUUUAUUACAUACGAGUAUAUGUAGUAGUAUGUAUUUAUGUAAAACGAUACGAAUUUUAAAAUGUACUUUGCUUUUGACAUCUUACGUAUAUUUUAUUAUUGUAGGUUUCUGCAUAAUCGUACUCGCCUUAAAUGCACAAACAUUUUCAAUCUAGUUACUACCGUCGUAUAAGGGCAGAAUGAAAGAAUUUGAUUAAAAUUUUUAAAUUAUUUCCCGAUUGAAUUCCUAUUCUUCAAUCACAAAAAAGAAACCAAUAAAAAGAUCGUUACAUAAUAUCGUUAAAAUUUUUUUCAAGAUAUUACACAACCCAGAAACUAGUAUAAAAAGUCUCACGGUGGCUCGAUAAAUGUUUGUAUUGAAAUAUCAAUAUACAAGAAUAAUUAUUCAAUUAUCGUAGAAAUCAAUAAAUAAGUAAAUUCUAACAGUACCAACAACUUCAUUUCCAGAAACGAGAAAUCAGAGUAAAAUAUCGUACAUAUUGAAAUACCAAUACUCUAAAACAAUUAUCUAAUUAUCUCACAAAUAAGAAACACAUAAACCUCUGGAUAUUACAAAAAAAAAUUCCUAUCGUUUCGAAGACCAAAGCUGAUAGAAGCUACGAGAAACGAUUCUACAAGCGUUCCACGGAUAUUUAUUUUGAAAUGCCCACGCAUGAAAGCAAUUAUUCGAGUAUGUUACACAUAAAUUCCAAAGAUGUCCACUCGAAUAACCCCGACAAGUGAAACUACUUACGAAAGGAACUUACGGAUGCUCGAGAAACACCAACAACGCAACGAUGCGAAAAACGAGCGCGCGAGUAGCGUAACAAGUGCAAGCUAAUUAUUUCACGCUGUCGGCGAAAAGCGCAUCGCCGGCGCGGUUCUCGAGCGCGGCACACCGGCGAUAAGGCGGGUUCGCACGAGGGCGGCGCGCGAUAAGCGCGCGGAUUACACGCUGGAUAUUACGCGACGAAUAUUUUACCGCCGCUUUCCCGCUCGAUUUCGUAUGCAAAACGCCGGUUGCCCCCCGCUGUUAGAGCCGUUUGCUCGACCCAUGGCAGCUCGUAGGCCAGGCAGGCUCGUCGUGACUCAGUUUCCGAAGUGUAUUUGAUCGAGAGGGCACACGUGCCGGAUCUGGGGCUGCACAAUGCUCCCGUGUCGACCGAGAAACUCGUUCAGAACCGUCCACGAGCUCGACGAACACGCGUUAUUUCACCCUCCCUAUAAUAGGCGCAAUUUCCCGUGUACAAAAUACACGUGCGCGGUUUUAUAAGGGGCUGCAAGAGUUUUCGCGACAAGGAGCCUGAAUAAAUUUGAGGGAUGUAAAUAUUGACGCGCUCGUGCCACUGUUUUAGUCGUGUCUCUCGUCAGCUGUGCGAAAAUUUUAGGAUUAUGCAACGGGGUUAAAGAAACGAUAAAACAUUGGUGGUGAGAAUUGGGGUAGUUCGACGAGCAAUUGGAAGAAAUACAGCGAUUCGUGGGCCAGAGAGUUUGAUGUACCAAGUUUCUUGGGGGGUUUUUUUGAAGACGCGACAAGUUUGGAAUUUGGAGAUGGUCCGGCUUUGAUUUAAAAUUAAAAUGUAAAACGUUUGCAGGAGAUACUGACAGGAGUUUGAUGGAUCGGGGAAAUUUUACUUUCAUAUCGCAUGGCGGAUACUUGUUGCGAUUUGAUAUUUUUAUUUAUGUAAAGCUGAUCUAGUCGAUAGAUAAACAGUUGUGACGUUUUUCAAAUUUCUAUAAGAGACUAUUAUAUUGUACAAAUUUUUUAAACACGUUCGAAUACGUAAUAUAAAAAUAUUGCGAAUCUUCUAAAAAGAAAGUUAAAUUUUUUCAGGGAUGAAGUUUGUUGAGAUCGGAGAGAGAUAAUUUUUUAUCCUGUUUCUUUUCUUCUAUCCGUCAAAUGUAAUUAUUUAAAACAUAUUUGUAGAUAUUAAACGAGACACGUGACGUUGAAAAGUAUUUUAAGAAAGAAAUAUUGAAUAACACAUACGUAUAUGAUCACUGUAUUCUUGAUAUCUUUUAAAUUCGUGCACGAACUGAACAAAAUUUCAUUUUCCUUAACCUGCUCUAAAUUCAUCAGCUACUUUUCCUUUACAAGCGAAAAUCAGCAACCGAUUAAGACCGACAAAUCGAUCUAACAUCGUCAAAAACCAAUCUUCAUCUACAUCAGCCAGAAAUUCUUUAAUCAAUCUUUAAUUAAUCAUACUUUAAAUAAUUCUUCUAUACAAAAUUACCCUGCCUCCACAAAUAAACCAACAAACUAUCUUGAUACGCGUAUUCCACGUUAAAACCACCCCUAAGUCACUGUUACAGCACCAUAAUCUCAUCGAAUACCCGGUAUCAAUAUGGAAAGAAGGAAAACGAGAAGAUCCCUUCGCUGCAGCCAAUCCCAGGAGCCAAUCGAGGGAUCUUUAAACGACGUCUCAUCCCAGAGUCACCCCCGUGCUCGCUAGGGUAGCGACACGGGACGCGUUUCCCUGGUAGCCGAGCGUGAGCUCGUAAAAAUCUUCUCUUUUAAUCUGCUUUUCGGUCCACAGCGACAUCGACAUCGACAAAGGUGGCCUGACGACGAAGAGCUGAGAGAGCUUGCGCACAAAGCAGGCCGCGCCGGUAUCGUAAUACCACAAAAGCCACACAGCCAGCUCGCGAUAAGUAGCCUCAUACCGAUACAGAUUCGUCGAGGCGUGUUUAACUACAGGGAGGGUUAAAAUCGCUUUGCGACACGUGGCCGUUCACGGGGCAGAGCAUCAUCGCGAAACACAGCCCCUCUCGCCUUCGACUUCACCGGGCUGUUCGACCAUUUUCGUUGUCAUCGUGCGUCGUCUGAACGAUCGGUCCUCCCCGUAAUUAACGUCCCCUUCCCCAUCCCUCUUUCAGCUUCCCGACAACCUCUAAUUACGCUCUUCCGCGAUGAGAGAGCCUUGGAUAGAAGACUGAUUAGAAAUUGAGCCUCGAGAGCUUUUCCACCCCUUUCUUUGAUAAGAGCACGGCCCAGCCACUUUCAACGCUUUACGAUGGAAACUUUUUAGCAUUUAUUCGUCGUUAUAUACUUUGGUUUCCUUUUUCCAAGGGUUCGGGCAGGCGAAAGGUUUCCAGAGACGAUCGAGAAGAAGAUCGAUGUUAACUUUUGCUGGCUAUAUCGGUUUUCCGAGAUCGUGGAAUCGAAUGCUUUUUCUGAUAAGGAUUAAACUAUUUUUAGAGUACUGCUAUCAUAUUGUGGAAACAGAUUAGCUACAAGGACACCCUAUAGAUAUAUAAAUUUAUUUCACCGUCUUCGCAUCCGUCUUCGAGCCGAGUCCCGUUACGGCGAUAGUUUCAAGUGGACUCUCGCAGAAGAGUGUACACGAGUGUCUGCAAGUCUGUAAUCCAAUUACAAGCAGGCUCGUAAGCUGCUCCGUGUAGUCCGAGAAUCGUAUAAGUGCUGUUUGCGCGUAACGUUGAAGCUAACGCAUCGAUAGGAUGAGAGAGAAAGAAAGGGAGAGAGAGAGAGAGAGAGGGCGACGAAUAAUAGGAUCGAACUAAUCACUUGUAAAGUCGUCCGGAGAGGAUUUGUCAUGCUUGCCGAUUUUUUUCGUGAUUCAAGCGCCGUAAAAUCCACCAUCCAGCGAAAACCAAUCGAACGUCUGGAUUAAGCGUACGCUCGAUUAAUUUAAAUACCGCAAAAUUGAUCCACGUUUUAUACUAAAUCGCGUACACUGCAUAUGUAUAUAAAAUAAGCAAACAGAUCGUUAGAGAAGAAGAUCUCAUUCUGAUUCGCGUGAUAUGUCAUUUUGAUCGUUGCAUAAAGAUAGAUAUUCUGUAUUUGCAAAGAUAUUUUCGUUUUUAGCGAGAGAAAUUAAAAAGCGUAUUUUUCAGUCGAAUGUUUUGCACGAAUUGUUUCGUUAAAGACGAGUGCGUUUGUCAUAUCAGUAGUUCGCUGACCAGAAGCAUAAUUUUGAAAAUAAAUUCCUAUACGCGUCAUUCUUUAAUAAAUUUAUAUACGACCAGCCCUUUAUCAAUUCGUAAAAUAUUCAAAAUCACGUGCAGAUUAUUAAAAUCGGGAAUUAUUAUUUUCAUAAACGAUAAAUAUUAUUGCAAUACUUGUUAUUCGAUAUGAAUAAUAAACGAUACGUAGCACGUGGUAUUAUUCCCAUAAACUGUAAAAGGUAAAAUACUUGUUAUAACACGCAAUAGACGCAAGAAAAUUUAAGUCCUAUCUUUUUCAUAAAAAUAUCGAAAUAUUUCAAAGAAAACUAUCUAUUUACGUCUUACUUUCUUUUCACCGUCUAGCCAUUACGUGUUUUGCACCUUUCCUCGCACUUUUUUUCUUCGAUUAACGUUAACACCAAUUACCAAUCCUAUGUAAAAUAAUCACAUUGCAAUGCGCAAGCAUAACGUACGAUGAAUGUGCGUGGAAAAUAAUAGCACGGAAUAACGUAGAGCAAAAAUAGUAGAACGUACAAAUAAUAAACAGAGCUUCCUUGUACGUAUGUUCUAAAAUCCUCGUAUCGAUAUCUCCAUUAAUUUAAAAGACACAAUGCGGUAAAUGAUACAAAGAGAGACUUUGAUACACUCGUUUCUCCUCCAUUCCCAUAAAUUCCAGCCAACGGGCUCACGAGCGCGCACGCGAUAAUUCAAUUCCACAGAAAUCGAACAACGAUUCACUUUGAUAAUUACAGACGUUACGAAAGAGCACGUCGAACAUGACAGGGGAAUGGAAGGUAGCAAGUCGAAAGGCUGUUCGUCAAAAUGUGGCUGCACCAGGGGGCAAGCUAUAUUUCACGUAAAGAUGCGUUUCUGACAGAAUUAAUUAGAGCGGGACCGCACGCUGCGUACUUUGGGAAAAAAGUAGUAAACGAAAACGAAAGAAGCAGAGAGAGAGAGAGAGGGAGGCGGAAGAAUUGGAAUUCCUGGUCGGGGGGUGGCGGACGUUCGAGCGACGAUGGGGGGUGCUUUUCAGUCGCAGCACGACGAAACAAAAGCCCAAGCCAUCGGAGAGGACUGAUUAAUGAGAGACGUGCGUGCAGAGAACGACGACAAUUAUGCGACUCGGGAUACAAACUGCCCACGCGUCGUCUCAUUGUCAAUGGAGGAGCGUGUGUAUUCUCUCCUCUCUCUUUUUCUAUCUUUUAACUCUCUCACACUCAUUUUUCAAGGAGAAAAUAAUCGUGAGACUGGCAUCCAUCGACGGUGGCCUGUCAUUCAUGAACACGCGUGACUAAACGAGACUUCCUCUGCUCGCUGCGAUUUUUUAAACUCUCUGGAAUGACGCAUGGAUUUCAGAUUCUUUUAUCGCCGAUAAAAUGUAUCAAAUAUAGGAAAUUCGUCCGUGGCUUUAUCACGUAGUACGUGAAUAUUUGGUCCUCGUUUUUCAGAGGAUAACGAGGAAGAAAUUAAAGACGUUCUUGACGAGGCAGAUAAGGCUUGUAACGUUUUAAUAUCUCUGGGAUUGCAGAUUGUUGUGAAUUCUUUGUGCUGUUACGAUCGACGAAGAAAAUAAUGGAAACUAUUGGAGGAAAUGAAGAAAAGAGAUGUUACAAUUUCUUGGCGACGUAUGGAUGAUGGUGUUCUAAUAAAUCAUGUUUCGAUAAAAUCUGAUAGGUUUUUAUGCCAAGCUUUGAAAAUUUCCAUUGGUCUAGUAUCAACAAGUACAAAAUUUGUAUCGCGCGUUUAUCUUCGAUAAAAUUAUAUCCUGUGUAUUACAAUAUACCUAUAAAUAUUAGCCGUAUCUAUAGUAAUAAACAUUGCUGACUGAAUAUCGAUUUGACUGUAAUUUAUGUAAAUUUCGUGUCAGAUUUCUAUCGUGAAAUAUUAGAAACGUUUAUAGCUCGGCGUAGCUAUAAAUCAUAUCAAUGGGAAAAUAACAAAAGGUACAGAUCUAUUUUUUAUUCGUAAUUAUGCACAUUAUCUUCGAUAGAAAUUCUGCAUACGAGGAUCGUAAAAAUCCAUCGAAAAGAAUAAAACCUCAUGAACAAAAUCCACAGUCCUUUCACUAGUAGCUAGUUAUGUUCAAUUUCCCUUCACUCGUACAGUUGCAUGUUUGAAAUAUCUGUUACUCUCGGCAGAAGAAUUAGUAAAUUUCAAUAUUUGGCGAUUUAAACGUUUCACUUGCCAUAGAGAAUUGCUGGAAAAUUGGAGAUACAGAGAUAGAAGUAACUGUUACGCGGAACACGCAUCUCCUGUGUUUAAAACCAUAAAUACAUCCUUUAUAAUCGAUGCAAAUUUAAUAUUAAUUCGCAAGUUUCGCGAGACAGGAAAAAGAUGCCAUUCCACAAACAGACAUUUUUUUUAAUAGAAAACACUGGCCACAGAGAGAUGUCUACGUUUGAAAUGUAUUUCUCAAAGUUUUCUUAUAAUCCGGACGACCGUAGUAGCGAAACCCAGGCACAGGACAAUGGCGUGUCUGGUAUAAUACCAGACAGAGAAUAAUUUAAAUACGUGAAACGGUAUUCAGCCGGGACUCGAGGCUAGUUGCACCUUCUGUUCGCGGAAGGAGAAGAAUCCGAGAUUAUACGGAAUAGAGGGAUGCUAUCAUCGAGAAUUUCGGCCGGUGGAAUGGACGUAGCUCGCUAGAAUUUACAUAAUUCAAUUCCCAACCGACGGAAGCUCGAAUUGACGAUCUUAUCGCGUAGCUUCUCGGCCGAAGCUCGCCUUAAAGUGGCUGUCUAAGAAUUAUGUAUCUAUUCGUCUAUCGAGUCAGCCGAUUUCUCGUGAGAAGCUAACGUCCAGGCUUAUGGCAACGUAAUUUUCAACGAACCUGAAAUUGUUUACUAGAAGCUAUCGCGUUGUAUAAUUUCUUCGAAGAAAUCAAAUUUCCAUUGGAAUAGGAAAUGAAAGUCGUCGUCGAAACCGCGACUAACAACAAUAACAAAGGAUUUUUUGAAGAAGAUCGUCGUUCGUAUCAAGGCACGACCAAGUUGUAAUCUCAAGAAUAAUAGUAACAAAGAAAAAUCACCUGACAAAGGAGCGCGUCAUCGUUGAUCGCAGAAGACAGAUCAUGAAUAGAUAACAGAUAGAUGAAUAGAUAAUUCAGCAUAAGAAUCAACUUGAGAGACGAUUUAUAGGACAAUGAAUCGAUACAAAACUUACUGCACUGCUUGAAACAUAUCGAAUUUUACAACAAAUUAUAAACUUCGUCCUUGAGUCACUAGAAACUUAAAAAAAAAAAAAAAUAAAAAAUAAAAAUGGUCCCUGUAACGUUCAAGAAUCAAAAUAAAGAAAAAAAUUCCAGUAAAUCCGAGGUAGACACCUAGUUAAAUAUUUGUAUAAAAAUUUGUCUUACAUGAUUUUUUCAUAACAAAUAAUAAAGAAGAAAUUUUCUUGUUACCAACGUUAUAUCGUUUUCUUCGUUUAUUCUUAAUUUGCAUUUUAUUGAAAUCUUGCUAUCUUGCAAUUGAUAAUAUUCUUAUUACCGACAUAAUCAAUUUUUAUGAUUCAGACUGUUUUAUUUUAUUUUAUUAAACGAGCUCGUACAAGGUAAAACGACUGUGCGAUUAUAUGAUAAGUAGGAUGAAAUUAUGGUACAACAAAUUGCUUGAUUGGAACGUUCGUCGAGGGUUAAUCAUAAUAAGAGACUCAUUUUCGAAUUAUGCUAUUUGCACAUCUCUAUACGAAGUGUAUCUUCUGCUCCGCUAUUUCUACAACGAUCAAAGGAAUUUAUUCAACGGGAGAUAAAAGAUGUAAUAAAUAAAAAUGACAGGAAUUUCUUAUUUCUAAUUUUGCCUUUCGCGCGACCACGAAUACCGUGGAUGUUGAACGAUAAGUAAUAAAAUGUAAUAAAGGAGUUUAUUUCGUGCACCAUACAAUACAGUGCGUUACCGAUCUCCGCGUGGCCACGAGCCAAAUAAUCAGAGCGUGACAGUUAAAACAGAAAGAAGAUUAGAAGUACGUGAGUACAGGUGUCAGCACGAGACAAGCGCCAAUAACCGGAUACCAAUACCAAUAAAAUAAAUGUUCGAUAAUCCAAAAUUAAAAUUGGUCAGGAAAUAUAUCGGGUUGGCAACUAGGUGAUUGCGGAUUUUGCCAUUAGAUGGUAUUGACAAAGUCCGCAAUCACUUAGUUGCCAGCCCAAUGGAAACGUACCGAACUCUCAAAUUUGAAAAGCUAGAUAUGAAAUUUCGUAUACUUUUCUAAUAACAACGUAAAUCUUACCUUGAGAUUCAUUAUCAUCGCAUAAAUUUUCAAUGAGGAAUGAUUGUCCUAUUCCUACGGUCUACAUAGAAAUUCUAUUGGGUUGUUCGGAAAGUCGGUACGUAACGAAAUUCAAGAAAAGUUUAAAAGCAAUCUAUACUUUCAAAGAAUUAGCAUUUUAUUGAAUGAUGUAUGUGCCAUUUCUGUCGUGACAUUUUACUAUCUAUCGUGAGCUUCGCGAGUUCUCCUUUAAAACACUCCUUUGGUAAUAAAUUAUACGAAGUAGUUUCCUAGUUUAGACUCUAGCAACCGCAAUUUUCUCAAAUCAAAAAUUUGUAUCCUUGUUUCCUUGAACCUUUCACUUUGUCGUUUAUUACAAUUUCACGUUUCUUUACUUUUAUUAAAUAUUUAAUACGAGAUAUAUUUUUUAUGCCGACAUUUCUACACAAAUUUUCACACUCAGAAAUGGAACAAUCAACACGGCCAAAAAGUGAUAAUCACGCGAGAUAACAACAGGUAGGAAUUGGAUCGUGCAAUUGUCGUAUGAUAAAUGUAGAAUGGAAACAUUACGGACAGGGAGCUGUCAGCAUAUCGUAGGUAAUAUAUCUCGCGCAAGAUAAAAUGCAAACUUUCGUGGUAUAUUUACGUCGCCAUCCUACUCUAAUCUAACGUAGAUAUUAUCGCUUAAGGAGAAAUUAUCCCAGAAACGCGAAGAGAUACUCUCUUUAAUGAGAAGGGGAAAACAUGGGUGUAACAAAUGCGUUUAAUUUCUUGUCUGUCAAAGGACAAAUCGUUUGAAAUGAUCAAAUUCGUGCAAGACUGUAAAAUGUAAUAAUAAUUUUCAAAGAAAAAAAUAAUACCUUUUGUCCAAAAGAAAAAGGAAAUCUAUUUUUUUUUUUUUUUUUUUUUUUUUGGAAGCUUGUUACAUUAUAAUUCUGAUGAAAUAAUAAUUAAUUAACUAUACCUGGAUAAACGUUUAAUUAGAACACGAUCAAUUCAUUCAGUCAUUAUACGGACUUUCAAACAGACGCGUUUCGAGCUAAGUGUUUUACAAAUUUCGAUACUGAUAUUUUAUUCAAUUAUACUCGUACACAGCUUGUUAAGACAUUUCGAUCCUGAUAUUCUAUCAAUUUCUGUACAAUUCGUUUUGCCAAAUGAAAAAAAAAAAAGAGAGAAAAAGAA